UUCGUUCUGUUGCCUCUCUGAUUUCUCAACCUUUUCUCUUCACAAACCAUUUACUCUCAUUAGGGUUUUUUGCCGCCGUGCUAACAAAUUUGAUCCUCUCAUUUCAAAAAUACUCAAUCCCAAACCCACUCCCUCCCGAUUCACUCUCACUCUCACUCUCGUCGAAGGUGGAUUAGCACGGUGCCGCCGUAGAGCAGAGGAUCACUCUGCGGCAGCCACUGAUGAAGAAUCACCGUCGUGGACCAAGGUCGUGGAGCUCGCAGUAUCGCGGCGUCACUUAAGCUCGCAGUAUCACGGUGUCACUUGAGCUCGCAGUAUCGCGGUGUCACUUUCUAUCGCAGGACUGGAAGAUGGGAAUCGUACAUUUGUUUUUUUAUUUUUGCAGGGAUUGUGGCAAACUAGGGUAAUUAGGUGAGGUUGCCAUUAGAGGAUUCGUUUUAGAUUAUGUGUUUCACCUUUCUUCAUCAACGACGAGGGGCUCGGGGCGGCGGAGGAGACUGGAGGAAGAGAGGGAGGGAUUGGUGAGGCGCAUGUGGGGGGCGGCGUUGUUGUUGGUGACAACGUGGGCGUCACCGAAGAGGUUGAUGUUGUCAAGGUUGAGAUUGGGGAGCUGCUUGGAGGAAAAAGACUGUUGGACGACGAUGAUUAAGGAACAGGGGACAAAGAGGCCAUGUCGCUACGUUUUUUCGGUAGCUAAUCACAAAAAGAAAGAAAGAGAAGCAGCAAAAUAGGGAAAACAUCCUUUUUAUCUCAAAAAAUCUCAAAUAUAGAAACAAAGGCUGAUUGAAAAAUAACAUUAUCUCAAGUGAUUGACUUUGGUAAACAAAAAUCACAGUAUCUUCAAAAUUGAGCCAACAUUGGCAAAGGACAUUAUGAUGAAAGAUUGACCCCAACCAAGGAUGGAGGCACAUGCUUAAGAAGAUUAAGCAUGUUUAGAAAGGAAGUUCACUAAUCCUU
This is a long non-coding RNA of Vigna unguiculata (cowpea), 957 nucleotides long. RefSeq lists it as uncharacterized. The record is from RefSeq and is a predicted model, not a curated record. NCBI's taxonomy places the organism in Eukaryota, Viridiplantae, Streptophyta, Magnoliopsida, Fabales, Fabaceae.